AUCUGAUUAGCUUAUAAAAAGCCUAGGCCUCUUAAACCUAAAGAAAAUGAAAUAACCAUUAUCAGAUA
RNAcentral lists this transfer RNA (68 nucleotides) under Ophioplocus japonicus. RNAcentral describes it as "tRNA-Lys". The record is from RNAcentral. Lineage: Eukaryota; Metazoa; Echinodermata; Ophiuroidea; Amphilepidida; Ophiolepididae.